RNAcentral lists this long non-coding RNA (1184 nucleotides) under Meleagris gallopavo (turkey). RNAcentral describes it as "lncRNA (ENSMGAG00000018213.1)". Lineage: Eukaryota; Metazoa; Chordata; Aves; Galliformes; Phasianidae. The record is from RNAcentral.
CUCACCACUAUGGCCGCCACACCUCAGAUUUUAUAAACCUGGAUCAGGUCCCCUCUCAGUCUUCUUUUCUCAAGGCUAAACAGACCCAGUAUGCAUCAUGCAUCAUGUCAUAGAAUCACAGAAUAUCUCAAGUUGGAAGGGACUCACAAAGAUCGAGUCCAACUCCCAACCACACAGGACCACCAAAAAUCCAAACCGUAUGACUAGGAGCAUUAUGCAAAUGCUCCUUGAACUACAGCAGCUUGGGGCCAUGACCACUGCCCUGGGGAGUCUGUUCCAGAAACACUGUGGUGAAGAAUAUUUUCUCAAUCCCCGACCUGAUCCUCCUCUGACACAGCUCCAUGCUGUAAUGUUGGGCAGUUCUUAAAAACAAAAACUUCAAACUUUCUGACUACUGUAGAUGCUAGACUCCAUUCAAAACCAGAGUAUUUAUAAAGUUAUAAUUAUACAGUACUUAGAUUAAGUAAUUUUUAUUUUAAAAAAAGAUCACAAAAGUAUUUUAUUCAACAUGAUUCUUGGCACCUCUAUUCAUGUUAUAAUAACACAUAUUUAGUAACUGUUAUCAAUACUGUCUAGAUUAGUUAAGUGUAAUAAUCUUCAGCUGUGACAGAUAGCAUACCUACUAGCUCUGGAAAAGAGAUAAGUGAUUUAUCUUUCCUUUACUGGAGGAAUGAGAAGGAAAAAAAAAAAAAAAAGCCCAUUCAGCAGAUAUUUGCAGACAUUAGCUGUGGAGAUGAUGUAUGUUAGUAUAUUGGAAGCUGGUUUAAAUUCUAAUUCAGUAAUAUUACUAAUCUCUUACUCCUUCUUUUUGUCAGGAUUUCUUUUGCAAGAAUGAGGUUAUUUUACAAUCUACCAUUGUUGAAGAUUAAACAUAAACAUAACACAAGGGGCUGCAGAAACAAACUGGAAACAGGAAUCCUGCGCAUCUGUCACACUGCAUGUCAGUUCAUGUUGGUUAGCACUGCUGUAACAGGCUUUUCCAGAUUCUGCAAUGUAACAUUACACGCGCACUUCAGUAUGGCAUAUAACGCAGGCAACAGCAAAAGCAUCCAUGCCUGUACGCAAACAGCGGUGCUCUACCUGUUACAGACACGGCAGUGAAGUGCAGCCACGCUUUGGAGGUACAGCAGUGGGAGAUAAGAACUAUCGGCACGAGCGUCACGCAGCUUGGAAGGAGAUUGCCA